ACCACUUUUGGUUUGCUGCGAGCACCAUCUCCCUUCAUGGUGUAGGCGGCUACGGUAAUGGAAUAUGCAGUCUCAGGCUGGAGCCCAGCAAUGACCAUCUCCUGGGCAUCAGCCAGCAUGAUGUCCUUGAUUUGGGGCAGCCCCCGGGCCUCUCCAUUCUCCAUGCGCACAUAGUGGACCUGGUAGCCGCGAAUCUGGCCAUGCUGGCGGUUCUGGACUGGAGAGCGCCAGAACACCUGGAUUGCAGUUGAGUUCAGGACCUCCACCUCCACUUUCCGAGGCGGCGCACUGGGCACGUCUUCAUCCGUCCGGACGAUAACUGGCGAGCUCUCCGGGCCCGGCCCC
This 345-nucleotide long non-coding RNA is filed under the name Gallus gallus (chicken). Lineage: Eukaryota; Metazoa; Chordata; Aves; Galliformes; Phasianidae. The record is from RNAcentral.